Molecule: long non-coding RNA, 2658 nt
Organism: Acinonyx jubatus (cheetah)
Lineage: Eukaryota; Metazoa; Chordata; Mammalia; Carnivora; Felidae
Exons: 2
Source: RefSeq, a predicted model, not a curated record
CCCUCUGCUGCGGCCCCGCCCCCUCGGCGAAGCCCGCUCGGGCCCGCCCGGGCCCGCUCACCUGCCACGGUGAGGUUGAGCAGAGAGCGGCGGCGGCGGCCCGUGCGCGGGUUCGCGGCGAGGCAGGCGUAGGCGCCGGCGUGGCCCGGUCCGACCGCGGGCAGCAGGAGACGCGGGCCGGCGGGCACGGCGGCCUCUGUCGGGUCGGCCAGGCUCCACGCGAUGUCGGCGGGCGGCCGCGAGGCGGCGGAGCAGCGCAGGGUCACGUUACUGCCCUUGGUGACAUAGAGGGCGGGGGUGGCGUCGCGGUCCGAGGAGACCUUGAUGACCGGAGGAUCCGGGCCGUCUGGGUAGGGGAAGGGGUCGCAACCGGGAGAGUUGGGGUCACCCGGGACUCCGCCACGACCCGCGAGGACUGGACCUCCAACAACCCCCUCCUCUCCAGGGAGUCGGGACCCCGAGCGCCCAGAUCCUAGCCCCCGACCGGAGGCAUACCCCGACUCACAGAAGACACUGACGUCGGCCGCAGCCUCCGCGUGGCCGAAGGGGCUGCGGACGCGACAAGUGUACCGGGCGUGGUCGCUGCGCACAGGGUGCCCGAUGAGCAGCUGGUCGCCCUCUGUGCGGAUCCGCGGUGGCUCCGCUCCCUCAGGGUCCGCUGCCUCCAGGGUGCGUCCGUCCCGGCUCCAGCUCAGCUCCCCGCGACCCGGCCCCCACCCUCUGCAGCGCAGCUGGAGUUCGGCCGCCCCCUCCUCUAUCUCCGGGGCCUCGGGCUGCACAGACAGCUGGGGCAGGGGCUCUGGGAGAAGGGGAAUGGGCUCAGGACCCGGUCCCUGGCCCCCUCAUCCCCCAGAUCCAGGACUGCAGGCCCCGGCCUUCACUCCUCACACCCAGGACUUCAGGGCCCCAAGCCCAGGAUUUCUCCUUCUCAGGGACCCACUAAGUCCCCCAGCGCCCGGCCCCCCCCUCCCUUCCCCCACCCCCUCUUCUCCCAGAGACCCGUGAUUCCAAGCCCCCAUGAGUCUUGAUCCCCAGGCCCAACUUCUCUCAAGAACCCCUGUCUUGGCCCCCAGCCCCUAUUAUCCUUCCUCCCUCUAGCCUAGAAGUCCUCUCUCCCCUGUCCAGGAACCCCUUCCUCAGGGGAGAAAACAGGUCAGACAGCAGUGAUCUGCCCAAGGGUCUGGCAGAGCAGACCCUGUGGCCUGCACUCUGGACCUCAGUGCCCACUUACCAUAUACACCCACCAUGAACUCUCGAAUCUGCCGGGAGACCCCAGCCCGAAUGACCUCAGCAGUGUAGACCCCAGCAUCCUCUAGCUGGGCAGAGGCAAGUUCCAGGCCCCCCUGGGCCUGGUCAAAUCGUAAGCGGUCCCGGUGAGCAGGAUCCAAGCUGAUCAGGGGGGCCCCCGGCCCCAGGCCUCCAGCUGCCAGCACCUUGGAGCCUCGGCGCCAGACCACCAGAGGCGCAGGAGGGCCAAGGCUGGGAACUGGCACCAGAGGGAGCUGGAUGGUGGUCCCCACUAGCACCGACAGAGGCCUCCCCACCUGCUGGGGGAAGCUUUCCACUGGGUGGGCUACUGCAGUUACUUUGGAUUCGGGCUUCUGGGCAGAUAUUUUAAGAUCCUGAUCCUUAGGGGAGAAUUGUGAACCUGGGGUCUCAACUUCAGUCUCCAGGGCCUGAGCAGAAAUGUUUGAAGCUGGGGUCUUAACCGAGGACGGCUCUGAGUUUUCGGCAGGAACUUGAGAACCCAAGAUAUCAGAAAAUACUUCGGAACCAGGGACCUCAGGGAAGGUAGACUCUUACUACCAGACCAAGAGACUACAGCAGAAGUGAUCCCGUGCCAGUGUCUGCAUGGAGGCCCGGAGACGGGCAUAACCCACCUCACGGGUCGUAGAACACUCCCUCCUGGAAGCCAGCCACCAUGCCGUGAAGAAGCUCGAGCAGCCCACGGAAAGGAAUCAUGGCCCCUGGUCGACGGCCAGCUCAAGCCAACAACCCCAGCCAGCCAGCAUGCAGGCCAGGUGACUGAGCCAUCUCGGACAUGUAUCCCCGGGCCCCAUUUGAGACCCCAGCUGACGCCGCGUGGAGGAGAGGCGAGCUCUCCUGCCAAGCCCUGCCCAGCUUUCAGAUGUAUGGGCAAACUAAUGAUUGGUGGUUUAAGUCAGCAAGUUUUGGGGUGUCUCGUUAUGUCACAUCAACCAACCAGAACACGGGUAUUAUUACUAACGCCACCUGAGGGAGGAGGAAAUUGGCGUUCGGAGAGUAGGAACUUGCCAGGGCCUCAGGAUCCAAACCCCAAGCCCUUAACCACUACACUAAGCUCUUACUAUUUUGAUCAGCCGGAUGAGGAAACCGGAACUCAGAGAUGCAAGGUAACUCACUCAGGAUCCCACAGCUGGGAAAGUUGAGGGAGGAUCUAAAAUCACUGAGUCUGGGGGCGCCUGGGGGGGCUCAGUCGGUUGAGCAUCUGACUCUUGAUUUCGGCUCAGGUCACGAUCUCACGGUUCGUGGGAUUGAGCCCCGCGUCGGGCUCCGUGCUGACAGCGCAGAGCCCGCUUGGGAUUCUCUCCCUCCCUCUCUGCCCCUCCUCCGGGCACGUGCACAUGCGCUCUCUCUCAAAAAUAAAUAAAUACACUUAAAAAAAAUAAAAUCAUAAAA